RNAcentral lists this ribosomal RNA (436 nucleotides) under Acinetobacter baumannii. RNAcentral describes it as "bacterial SSU rRNA". It matches the Rfam family "Bacterial small subunit ribosomal RNA", at positions 39 to 476 of the family's 1533-position model. The record is from RNAcentral. Lineage: Bacteria; Pseudomonadati; Pseudomonadota; Gammaproteobacteria; Moraxellales; Moraxellaceae.
GCGGCAGGCUUAACACAUGCAAGUCGAGCGGGGGAAGGUAGCUUGCUACUGGACCUAGCGGCGGACGGGUGAGUAAUGCUUAGGAAUCUGCCUAUUAGUGGGGGACAACAUCUCGAAAGGGAUGCUAAUACCGCAUACGUCCUACGGGAGAAAGCAGGGGAUCUUCGGACCUUGCGCUAAUAGAUGAGCCUAAGUCGGAUUAGCUAGUUGGUGGGGUAAAGGCCUACCAAGGCGACGAUCUGUAGCGGGUCUGAGAGGAUGAUCCGCCACACUGGGACUGAGACACGGCCCAGACUCCUACGGGAGGCAGCAGUGGGGAAUAUUGGACAAUGGGGGGAACCCUGAUCCAGCCAUGCCGCGUGUGUGAAGAAGGCCUUAUGGUUGUAAAGCACUUUAAGCGAGGAGGAGGCUACUUUAGUUAAUACCUAGAGAUAGU